RNAcentral lists this ribosomal RNA (107 nucleotides) under Limosilactobacillus reuteri. RNAcentral's name for it is "Lactobacillus reuteri partial 16S ribosomal RNA". The stretch from base 1 to 96 matches the Rfam family "Bacterial small subunit ribosomal RNA", at positions 1439 to 1533 of the family's 1533-position model. The record is from RNAcentral. Lineage: Bacteria; Bacillati; Bacillota; Bacilli; Lactobacillales; Lactobacillaceae.
CCUUAGUGGGGAGGGCCGGCGGAGGGGGAACAGAUGACUGGGGUGAAGUCGGAACAAGGUAGCCGGAGGAGAACCUGCGGCUGGAUCACCUCCUUUCGAAGGAAUAA